AGACAGAUAUUUGACCAUUGGAUUUUCUUUGGAUGGUAUUAAAAGUUUGUGAUCCAUGUGUGAGCAAGAAUAAACCAAUAAUAAUCAAGUAUUCUAUACAACACUAACUAUAAAAGCCAUCUUCUAUGAAAACCCUAGACCCAUUUCAAAUUUCACCAGCCUCCUAUUUUUCUUCCCCCUUAUCUCGGUCUAUUCCCUUCAACUCUAACCCAUUGCCAAGAACGACGCCUUCAUCCAACUCGCACCAUCUCUCUAAAACCCCUAAAUCUCCCAUCACCACCGAUAAUGUCUUCAUCCACCAUCUCGGCACUUCCAUCAGCUAUCACCGCACCUCUGAAGUCCCUCCCUCUCCUUCUUUGCUAAGAAAAUCUCGCCUAUUUACACAUUCACUUCCGAAAAAUACAGCUACAUUUAAAUCUUGAACAUCAGCCAUAGUUCUUGCACCACCAUUGUUGUAACAACCAACAAACACCAUCGACAUGUUUUAGUUUGUUAGGAAGGAGGUGACUAAAAUUCAGAUCUGAAAAUGUUAUUUAAGCUAAAAGGAAUAUGUGAUCUAUAACACAAAUAGAGCGUUGUAGGAAGGAACUACUCUACUUCCUGUAAUCAUUUUUUGUAUAUAAUGUUGUUGAAAUGUUUGAUAUUUUUAGAGAACGAGCAGCUGUCUUCAUAUUU
Lactuca sativa (garden lettuce) is the source of this 675-nucleotide long non-coding RNA. RefSeq lists it as uncharacterized. The record is from RefSeq and is a predicted model, not a curated record. NCBI's taxonomy places the organism in Eukaryota, Viridiplantae, Streptophyta, Magnoliopsida, Asterales, Asteraceae.